Molecule: ribosomal RNA, 465 nt
Filed under: uncultured bacterium
Lineage: Bacteria
Description: partial 16S ribosomal RNA
Rfam family: Bacterial small subunit ribosomal RNA
Source: RNAcentral
GAUGAACGCUGGCGGCGUGCUUAACACAUGCAAGUCGAACGGAAAGGCCCCUUUGGGGGUACUCGAGUGGCGAACGGGUGAGUAACACGUGAGUAACCUGCCCUUGACUUCGGGAUAACUUCAGGAAACUGGGGCUAAUACCGGAUAGGAACCCUUGCUGCAUGGUGGGGGUUGGAAAGCUUCGGCGGUUUUGGAUGGACUCGCGGCUUAUCAGCUUGUUGGUGGGGUAGUGGCUUACCAAGGCUUUGACGGGUAGCCGGCCUGAGAGGGCGACCGGCCACAUUGGGACUGAGAUACGGCCCAGACUCCUACGGGAGGCAGCAGUGGGGAAUAUUGCACAAUGGGCGGAAGCCUGAUGCAGCAACGCCGCGUGCGGGAUGACGGCCUUCGGGUUGUAAACCGCUUUCAGCAGGGGCGAAGCUUGUGGUGACGGUACCUGCAGAAGAAGCACCGGCUAACUACGUG